CGGCCGCGUCGACACGCUGGCGGCGUGCCUAAUACAUGCAAGUCGAACGAGUUCUGAUUAUUGAAAGGUGCUUGCAUCUUGAUUUAAUUUUGAACGAGUGGCGGACGGGUGAGUAACACGUGGGUAACCUGCCCUUAAGUGGGGAUAACAUUUGGAAACAGAUGCUAAUACCGCAUAAAUCCAAGAACCGCAUGGUUCUUGGCUGAAAGAUGGCGUAAGCUAUCGCUUUUGGAUGGACCCGCGGCGUAUUAGCUAGUUGGUGAGGUAACGGCUCACCAAGGCAAUGAUACGUAGCCGAACUGAGAGGUUGAUCGGCCACAUUGGGACUGAGACACGGCCCAAACUCCUACGGGAGGCAGCAGUAGGGAAUCUUCCACAAUGGACGCAAGUCUGAUGGAGCAACGCGCGUGGGGAANAGGCUCUGGGUUGUAAACCCCUUUNCUAGGGAGAAAGUUGUGAAAGCAACCGUGACGGUACCAGAGGAAUCAGCAUCGGCUAACUCGUGCCAGCAGCCGACGGUAAGAAGUCGUGGGAACGG
This 538-nucleotide ribosomal RNA is filed under the name uncultured Lactobacillus sp. RNAcentral's name for it is "bacterial SSU rRNA". It matches the Rfam family "Bacterial small subunit ribosomal RNA", at positions 33 to 537 of the family's 1533-position model. Lineage: Bacteria; Bacillati; Bacillota; Bacilli; Lactobacillales; Lactobacillaceae. The record is from RNAcentral.